Molecule: transfer-messenger RNA, 378 nt
Filed under: Helicobacteraceae bacterium CG2_30_36_10
Lineage: Bacteria; Pseudomonadati; Campylobacterota; Epsilonproteobacteria; Campylobacterales; Helicobacteraceae
Also listed under: 1 other name
Rfam family: transfer-messenger RNA
About the family: Bacterial tmRNA, also known as 10Sa RNA or SsrA, is named for its dual tRNA and mRNA-like properties. Its role is to liberate the mRNA from a stalled ribosome.
Source: RNAcentral
GGGGACGACUUGGCUUCGACAGGACUAAGUGGCUUUCGAUUGCAUGCCGGACUGAGCACUUCCGUUACGCGGCUCAAACUUGCUUAAACGCAAACAAUACAAAUUACCGCCCAGCUUACGCAGUAGCAUAAGUUUUACCCCUCCGCAAGGAGACGGGCUGCUUCACCUAAUGACUCUAGAUAGUUAGGACUCGAAGUAUAACCCUAAUGUAGAUAUAUUUUACGUCUCGUCUCGUGCGUAGAAUGAACCCAGAGGCUCGUCUUGUGUGGCUUUGCAAGUUGUGUGAAGCAAGAUUAAACUUUAACGACUUUUCUAAGCAUGUAGACGUUGGGAGUAGCUUGGUUUUGGACUCCGGUUCGAUUCCGGACGUCUCCACCA